UACGUAGGGACCAAGCGUUGUCCGGAAUCAUUGGGCGUAAAGAGCGUGUAGGCGGCUUGUUAAGUCUUGCGUGAAAUCUCGGGGCUCAACCCCGAGCGGUCGUGAGAAACUGGCAGGCUAGAGUGCGGGAGAGGAGAGUGGAAUUCCUGGUGUAGCGGUGAAAUGCGCAGAUAUCAGGAAGAACACCCGUGGCGAAGGCGGCUCUCUGGAACGCAACUGACGCUGAGACGUGAAAGCGUGGGGAGCAAACAGG
Molecule: ribosomal RNA, 253 nt
Filed under: uncultured bacterium
Lineage: Bacteria
Description: partial 16S ribosomal RNA
Rfam family: Bacterial small subunit ribosomal RNA
Source: RNAcentral